Molecule: RNA transcript, 1802 nt
Organism: Cicer arietinum (chickpea)
Lineage: Eukaryota; Viridiplantae; Streptophyta; Magnoliopsida; Fabales; Fabaceae
Gene name: primase homolog protein
Source: RefSeq, a predicted model, not a curated record
AUACAACGUCAACAAGUCACUCCUCUUCUCCCCAAACAUUCACCUUAUUCCUAAACCCAUCCACUUAUCAUUUGACGUGAAAAGAAAGAAUCUAAAAGAAAAAAAAAACACUUAAUCACUCUCUAACUUCUUCUUCUUCUUCUCUUUACCAACACCAUCAAAGUUACUAACACCAUUAAUUCAAACUCAAAAUCAUGCCACUUUGUCAUAGCCAGUGGCUAUCUCAUCCUCUCACCAAAUCCCUCUUCUCCAAGUUUCUUCCCACAACAACCUAUGCAUCAUCAUUCUUCCCUCAAAGGGUACCCAUCUUUUGCUUCCAUUCAUCAUCACACUCCACCAAAGAUGGUGCUGUGGAGCAUGUUUUUGACAAUAAUAAUAACUUUGAUGAACCUAAAGUUAAAAUAUUGAAGCAGAAAAUGGAACCUCUUGGCAUCAACUUAGACAACUCUUGUUUGCCUGGAAAGUACCAUAACCUUUUUUGUCCAAAGUGCAAAGGUGGACAGUUAAAGGAGAGGAGUUUGUCUUUUCACAUUAUCUCUGAUGGUGAAUUUGCAAUGUGGAGGUGUUUUAGACCUACAUGUGGUUGGGCUGGUCAGGUUUUUGCAGAUGACAAGGAAUUGGACAGUAAGGUUAAUGGUAAUGCCAAGCCUUUUGGACAAAUGGAUGAGGAGAGCUUAGGAUUGGAACCACUUGGUCCUAAGCUUAUUGCUUACUUUAAAGAAAGACUGAUAUCAGAGAAAACCUUAAGCCGAAACGCUGUAAGGCAACAGUCGGACAAUAAGAAUGUUAUUGCUUUUACUUACAAACAAAAUGGGUUGCUUGUCGGUUGUAAGUACAGAACAAUCGAGAAAAGAUUUUGGCAGAGAAAAGGCACAGAAAAAGUACUUUAUGGACAUGACGAUAUUAGUCAUGCAACCGAAAUCAUCAUUGUUGAAGGGGAAAUUGAUAAGCUUUCACUCGAGGAAGCCGGCUAUCAAAAUUGUGUUAGUGUUCCAGUUGGUGCACCUGGAAAAGUAUCCUCAAAAGAUUUGCCACCAAUAGAAAAGUCAGGACACUGCAUAUCGAUACUUGUGGAACUGCAAAGCGUACUUGGAUAAGGUAGUUCGCAUUAUCCUCGCAACCGAUAAUGAUCCACCAGGUCAAGCUUUAGCCGAAGAGCUGGCACGGCGCCUUGGGCGACAAAGGUGUUGGCAAGUACGCUGGCCAAAGAAAGAUGAAAAUACCUUCUUCAAAGAUGCAAAUGAGGUUCUCAAAUACAUGGGAGCUGAUGCUUUGAAGAGAAUAGUUGAAAAUGCAGAGCCAUAUACUAGUGCAUACUAGGUAAUUCCAUGAUUUCCAUCUUGGAAUGUGAAGAUGGAUGUAGGUGAAGUGAUAUGUUUCAUCAAGAUUGUAAAAUGUGAGUUUAUUAUAAUCUACAUGGUCAACUGAAGGAUAUUUAUGUGCACUGGUGUGAACAAUUGCAACUCUUGGAUAAUAUUAACUCAAAUCUUCCAUAAUAUAUAGUGAAUUGCAAGGUUUUAAGUUGCAGUUGUGGUAAUGGUUUCGUUGCGAUCCUUAAUAUUGCGGAGAAUUAUAGUGAAAUAAAAUAAAUUGCGGCCACUACGCUCACCGAGUCCCCUUCCUCUUCCAAUUUUUGAUGGUGUAGUUCUCUUGGGUUUUAGACAUUCAGAAAGUAUACAUAAGUAAGUGUAUUUUUGAGUUUCUAUAAGCAUAGUUUCAUAUUUUUAAGAUUGAAUAUUUGAAUGUAUACUUAAGGAGGUGUAUUUUAUUACUUCUAUAAUAAAUAUACACCAUUUCCUGAA